RNAcentral lists this ribosomal RNA (472 nucleotides) under uncultured bacterium. RNAcentral's name for it is "partial 16S ribosomal RNA". It matches the Rfam family "Bacterial small subunit ribosomal RNA", at positions 28 to 507 of the family's 1533-position model. The record is from RNAcentral.
GACGAACGCUGGCGGCGUGCUUAACACAUGCAAGUCGAACGCUGAAGCUUGGUGCUUGCACUGGGUGGAUGAGUGGCGAACGGGUGAGUAAUACGUGUGUAACCUGCCCUUGACUCUGGGAUAAUCCUGGGAAACUGGGUCUAAUACUGGAUACGACAUUCCACUGCAUGGUGGUGUGUGGAGAGGGGUUUACUGGUUUUGGAUGGGCUCACGGCCUAUCAGCUUGUUGGUGGGGUAAUGGCCUACCAAGGCGACGACGGGUAGCCGGCCUGAGAGGGUGACCGGCCACACUGGGACUGAGACACGGCCCAGACUCCUACGGGAGGCAGCAGUGGGGAAUAUUGCACAAUGGGCGGAAGCCUGAUGCAGCGACGCCGCGUGAGGGAUGACGGCCUUCGGGUUGUAAACCUCUUUCAGCACGGAAGAAGCGAGAGUGACGGUACGUGCAGAAGAAGCGCCGGCUAACUACGUG